Molecule: non-coding RNA, 1838 nt
Organism: Rattus norvegicus (Norway rat)
Lineage: Eukaryota; Metazoa; Chordata; Mammalia; Rodentia; Muridae
Source: RefSeq, a predicted model, not a curated record
CAUAUGACCUAAAUUGUGUUUACUUUAUAGAGUCUAAAUGUAAAGCUUUUGCUAAGGUCAUCCUUUUAAUGACAUUCUCUAUCCUUUUGUGGCUCAGAGGCUGAAUCUUGAAAAGUUUUGUAUACAAAUGUACUUUGUACAAAACAACUUCGGUGCCCCGAGGAUUUCUGGUGUUGAAGAGAGGGAAGACGAGUUUGAUUUUUAAGUUUAAGCUCCAAGCGUUUAUGAGCUAAAUGGGGAUGCUAUUCUGAAUUAAGCCUCCAAUGUUUUGUUUCUUUUAUAGGCAAGAAAGGAUAUCACUGCUAAGAUGAUUCGUAAAGGAUGAAGUGGGGCUCCAGUUAUUUGAACCCAUUAGAAGGUCUCUGUCCCCAAAGACUAGAGCUUUUGAUGACAACCCCUUUCUCCUUCCAGGUAAAUCCAAUCCAAGCAAAUAAAAACAGGGAAAAAAGUAAAUUGAUAUAGGAGAUGGUGUAGAGAUAAAAGCAAUGAAGAAGAGGACAUCAGAUCCCCUAGAACUGGAAGUGGAAUUACAAAGGAUUGUGAACCACCACAUGGAUGCUGGCAACCGGACUCAGGAUCGCUGAAAGAGCCGUCAGUAUUCUUAACUGCUAAACAAUCUCUCCAGCCCAUAUACCAUAUUUUCAUUACCUUCUGGUUUGUUGACAGAUGAAUAUCCAGACUAGCUUAAUCUCCUUGCUAUUAUGACCAGAGCACAUGGAUUUUUAAGUAUCUCUGUGAUAUGAUAUAGGAUUCUUUGGGAAUACAUUUCAGGGUUGGUACAACUAAAACUUUCAUGCCUUCUAUUGUUAAUUUUAUUGGGCAAUCUCUACAAUGUAUAUAACAGUGGAAGCAGUUUCACGUCUACAAGUAGUGAGACCAGCUAAUAAUAUCCCUCUUUAUUUACCGAGUUGAAAAUGUGCAAGAUCAAAGGGCCCUGCUUACUCUUGGCACCAAAUUAAUAGCGGAUGUUUCUCACCAGAGUUUCAAAAGCAAGCAUAGACCUUGGGUACGUUGUCACAAUGUACAGAAACAAGUCAAAUUCUAAUAUUUUAUAUAAAUAUGUAGAAAUAAUCCGUUGCUUAGCUUAUAUACCUUUAGAAGUUUAAUGUACUGCACUGUCUAGUAAAAAAUCAAUUUAUAUACAGAUAGCUGAAAGAGAAAAGAUGAAGUGAAACACUGUGCCAUGCAAAGCUGGUGUGUAGAGGAGCGCUGCACUGCAGUGGCUAUCAGGAGCCAUGCUAUCCAGUGACCUAGAUGGUGAGAGUAAGGCAAAUGGAGAGGCAGCUAUCCAAUGAAAGUCAGAUGAUCAAACAUCAAGUGUGACAACCCCACUAGAGGGGAGUCUGUUCAUCUGUGACCCUCCCAAUUAUAAAAGGAAUUAGAGUCCAUCAAAAAUGAACUUUUUAUUUUGCUCAGUUAACCUCUUCGCCCCACCCCUCCUCCCCCUGUCUGUUCAAUUCUGCCAUCAAGUUCUGUAAUUUUGAAAAGCUGUUGUUUCUGAAGACCACCCCACAGAAGGCUGCAUUGUGUUGCUUUGCAGCCAUAGAUCCAGCAGUCUGUCCCUUGUUCAUCGCUGCUGCAUUCCUGCCCAAUCAGUUUGGAUUAUUGUAAAAUAGCAUUGGAGGUAGUGCUCAUUGUGAGGAAACAAAACACCACCACCACAAAUAAACAAAUGCUUCUCCAUUUAGCUUUUGUUCUUUCCCCACUCUGUAUCUUGACUUUCAAAUUCAUUUCAGGUGUGUGGUUGUUUGGCUUCAGAAAGACGUUUCCCUAUUGGGUAAUUUAGAUGAGGAAAAUUUAGGAGUUUCAGCUCGAAAAUUUACCUUCUAAGAAAUAAA